GUUCCUACCAUAACACUUAAGCAAGGAAUCCUGUACACUUCUCUCCUGGGGUUGUGACUUGUAUAUUGUCAAGGAUCACUUGGAUGUGGUAAAUGCUAUACUGGACACUGAUGAUAGCUGCAUAAGGAUUGUGCGAAAAAACGGGAAGACAUCCCUACAUACUGCUGCAAGGAUUGGAUACCAUCGUAUUGUCAAGGCACUCAUAGAGAGGGAUCCAGGAAUUGUUCCGAUCAAGGAUAGGAAGGGACAAACUGCACUUCACAUGGCUGUGAAAGGCAAGAACACAGAUGUAGUGGAAGAGUUACUGAUGGCUGAUGUUUCCAUUCUCAAUGUGCGGGACAAGAAGGGAAAUACUGCUUUGCACAUAGCUACAUGGAAAUGGGAGAAUUUUGGGAUUAUGAAACACCGCAGACGUGGCUUCGACGAAACGGAGGCGUAGGCGAGGGAUUCGACAUUAUGAAAAACCAGAGAAGAUACUACACUCUAAAAUGGACAUGAAUCCUCUAUUACCAGGGAAGGAUGAUGUUUAUUACACUGAAACAGACGCUGUCUCACAUCCGUUACCCGCACUAGACGCACCCAGUCUUUCUACAGAGAGAAUCGCGCCGUUCUUGAAUCUGCCAUUCGCUGAAUCUGCCAUUCGCUGCUGUUGUUUCUGGACAGUGAAGCAGUAUUCCGGACAGUGAACAAAAAUCUGGGAACACAUUUCAUUUUCACUGUCAUUGGCUACCAGAGUCCGGGAACAAAAUCUGGGAACAAAAUCUGGGAACACAAAAAUCUGGGAACAAAAUCUGCCUUUGGCUACCAGAGUUUAUUGCUCCCAUAUCAUUCGCUGUCCAUUUCACUGUCCAUUCGCUGAACACAAAAAGCUGGGAACAAACUCAUUUUCCCAGUGAACAGGUAGCACAAUUUAGUUCACAAAAUCUGGGAGCACAAUUUAGUUCACAAAAUCUGGGAGCAAUAAACAGGUUGAACAGGUAGAACAAAAUCUGGGAGCAAUAAACUGCCAUCCCAGAACAAAAUUCGCAGCUCACAUUUCAGUUCACAAGCUAGUUCACAAUUUAGUUCCCAGGUACCACAAUUUAGUUCACAAGCUAGUUCACAAGCUCACAUUUCAAUGGAGCAAUACACAGGUAGCAGUUUGACAAGCUAUUACACAAGCUCACAUUUCUGGGAGCAAUACACAGGUAGCAGUUUCACAAGCUAUCACACAAGCUCACAUUUCUGGGAGCAAAAAACAGGUGGCGUAGUAGCAGUCGUGUGUUCAUCUUCAUUUGCAGCAACGACAAGUUCACGGCUUGGUGCUUCAUCUUCAUUUCCAGCUACAACAACGACAAGCCACCUGCUUUGGCGCGGACUAGGGUUGUGGUCGCAGCGCCGCCGCCACCUGCUUUGGCGCGGGGCCGCGAGCAGCAAGGGAGAAGACGCGGAGUUUGGAGAGAAGGAGGUGCAGCGCCGCCGCCACCUGCUUUGGCGCGGGACCACGGGCAGCAGAUCUCCGGGCAGCAGGGGAGGAGACUAGCAGGGGAGGGAAAUGGAGAUUGAAGAAAAUGAGAUGGAAGGAAGAGGCUUGACGGGAGAGAGAAGAACCUUGAAGAGAGAAGAACGGCUCUGGACGGCAGAAGAAAACGGCGCGUGGGCUGAUAGCGACGGAAGAUCAUUAUUCGUUCUCCUGAACGACUAAUAACGAUGGGAUCUGGAAUAACAGGAGCCUGAUGGUUGCAUCAGUAGAGUUGACCACUUCUCAGUAUUGCGAGAUGCAUCUUACAUGGUCAAGAAGAUAAUUCCUAUUCUGAACUACUUGCUCGUGUUGAUCAGUUUUGCCUAGUCCCAGUACCAUACAAAGAUGUUCAGCUGGAUAUAAACAUUUCUCCACGUCUCUCUUCUGAAUACAUAAGUUAUCUGGAAAAUCCUGUUGAGUUGCUCAAUGAAGCGGCAAAAGCUGCAGAGAAAGAUCUAUGGAAAAUCCUGUUGAGUUGCUCAAUGAAGGCUUUUGCGAAUCACUUGAAGCGUUAGUACUUUUGUGAAUGAUUUUGUAAAGUGUUUGUAAAUAUGUGCAAAACAUAAUAACAUGUGUAGGUUUUGUGAAUGAUUUUGUUGUGGUGCUUGUUGAUGGUUUAUGUGAUGUGGAUCUAUCAUUGUGC
RNA transcript from Zea mays, 2144 nucleotides. It is a transcript of the gene named ankyrin repeat pseudogene, with no coding region annotated. The transcript is spliced from 7 exons. NCBI's taxonomy places the organism in Eukaryota, Viridiplantae, Streptophyta, Magnoliopsida, Poales, Poaceae. The record is from RefSeq and is marked validated.